AUACGGAGGGUGCAAGCGUUGUUCGGAAUCACUGGGCGUAAAGCGCGUGUAGGCGGCUUGGUAAGUCGAAUGUGAAAUCCCGGGGCCCAACCUCGGAACUGCAUUCGAAACUGCCUCGCUAGAGUCUCGGAGAGGAAGGCAGAAUUCCCGGUGUAGGGGUGAAAUCCGUAGAUAUCCGGAGGAAUACCAGCGGCGAAGGCGGCCUUCUGGACGAUGACUGACGCUGAGACGCGAAAGCGUGGGGAGCAAACAGGAUUAGAAACCCCGGUAGUCC
RNAcentral lists this ribosomal RNA (274 nucleotides) under uncultured bacterium. Its description in RNAcentral is "partial 16S ribosomal RNA". It matches the Rfam family "Bacterial small subunit ribosomal RNA", at positions 523 to 796 of the family's 1533-position model. The record is from RNAcentral.